Molecule: long non-coding RNA, 217 nt
Filed under: Elaeis guineensis (African oil palm)
Lineage: Eukaryota; Viridiplantae; Streptophyta; Magnoliopsida; Arecales; Arecaceae
Description: long non-coding RNA (EGUI_LNC061366)
Source: RNAcentral
AGAGAAGAGUAGUCCUAUGAGAUUUAAGAGGUCUAUGAGAUUUAAGAGGCUAAAUUCAAGAGUCUGUGGUCACAGUAUUGUGAUUGAUGGAAAAGAGUUUCUAUAGAAGUCACAACUAGACUUGAGCUAAUCAAUCUAUCAUAUGACUGAUAUUGAGGUUUGACGAUUUAUUUAUGACCUGCCAUCUAGUCGGAACUCAUGAUAGAAAAACUAAAUC